Xiphias gladius (swordfish) is the source of this 165-nucleotide long non-coding RNA. RefSeq lists it as uncharacterized. The transcript has 3 exons. The record is from RefSeq and is a predicted model, not a curated record. Lineage: Eukaryota; Metazoa; Chordata; Actinopteri; Istiophoriformes; Xiphiidae.
UAAACAAGAAGCACAUGUAGGACUGUUAGGGCUGUGGAAUCCUCUUGGAUGAGAGGUGAAACGUCUUCAGGAGUCUCAUCUUAAUGACGGCUGCCAUCAUUGGUUGCUGAUUGCAGAAUUUCCCUACAGGCUCCAGGGAUAACGCGGUACAGCCUCCCAAUUGGG